Molecule: long non-coding RNA, 556 nt
Filed under: Junco hyemalis (dark-eyed junco)
Lineage: Eukaryota; Metazoa; Chordata; Aves; Passeriformes; Passerellidae
Description: lncRNA (ENSJHYG00000016153.1)
Source: RNAcentral
AAUUCUGAGCCAUGCUGACAUUUUAGGUUGUGUUUUCCUUCUCGACAGAUCGCAGACUACUCAUUUUCUCUGGGGUUCAUGGAGGUGACAAGGAUGGACUCCCAAGGCAUGUCUGCAAUGGUUGUUUGAAACAAGAAACAGAUACCCUCUUGCUGUCAUUCAUCUCUGAUCACCGGGAAUCUGAGCUUGGAGGAAGGUGAAAGAAAACUCCUACCGAGAACUGGGAAUCAUUUGUCUCAGGGAGCCUUAUGUGAGCAGGGUUUGCUGCUCUUACUUUCCCAAAGGCACCCGGGUGGAAAUGCCCACUUUGGCCCAAGCUGCCCUUUGCAGACAGAUGCACAGACAAAUGCUGGCCGAAGGUCUCAGUGCAGGUAAGUCACCCUAACCCUGCUCCUUCUCUUGCAGUGCAGUCCCACAUCUUUGGACAUUGACUUUUUCCCAUUCCUACCUACCACUGCUUCAGGACCAUGCUUCUUGGGGAAUGGGGAAAUCCAGGUCCUGCUGAGGUAUGAAGAAAAAAGGGAUUUUGACUUAUAUGGUACAGGGUAUGGGCUUC